CAGUAGCCACGGUAAUACAGAGGGUGCGAGCGUUAAUCGGAUUUACUGGGCGUAAAGCGUGCGUAGGCGGCUUUUUAAGUCGGAUGUGAAAUCCCUGAGCUUAACUUAGGAAUUGCAUUCGAUACUGGGAAGCUAGAGUAUGGGAGAGGAUGGUAGAAUUCCAGGUGUAGCGGUGAAAUGCGUAGAGAUCGGAAGGAACAUCUGUGGCGAAGGCGACUAUCUGGGCCAACACUGACGCUGAGGCACGAAAGCGUGGGGAGCAAACAGGAUUAGAUACCCCCGUAGUCCCUGUCUCUUAUAC
This 301-nucleotide ribosomal RNA is filed under the name uncultured bacterium. RNAcentral's name for it is "partial 16S ribosomal RNA". It matches the Rfam family "Bacterial small subunit ribosomal RNA", at positions 509 to 807 of the family's 1533-position model. The record is from RNAcentral.